This is a long non-coding RNA of Talpa occidentalis (Iberian mole), 349 nucleotides long. RefSeq lists it as uncharacterized. NCBI's taxonomy places the organism in Eukaryota, Metazoa, Chordata, Mammalia, Eulipotyphla, Talpidae. The transcript is spliced from 3 exons. The record is from RefSeq and is a predicted model, not a curated record.
CUCCGAUCACUGACCUAUGAAUUCAAUGGAGUGAGUAUUUCCUGCCAGAGUCAAACAGAAACCACCACAGUUCAAUGGAUGGAUCCAGAACACAGGCUAGAAGUCCUCUGGGAAAUUGAAGUUGGGAUGUUAACUCUGCCUCUGCAACCUGCCAGAGAAAGGAACAUUAAGAUGUGGAUGCUCUCAAGUGACCAGGUCUGUGACAUCGCUGGCCCUGUCGACCACCAACCCACAAAAACCUUUGACCCUGAGCAAUAGAAGCCCAAACACUAUUUCAUCUACCCCAACCUCAUUCCUUCUCCAAAUCCCCAAUGUGUUGUAUCUAAAAUACACAAGCAAUAUAUGUGAG